UAAUUUUUGCCAUUUAUGCAUACAUAUCCAACAUCUAUGCAUCAUAAUCAUUCACCUAUGCAAAUCAAACAAAACCUAUCAAAUAAUCGCAAAAAAUGAUAACUAUGAAACACAAUCCAACAUCUAUGCAUCACCAUAUUUCAUCUAUGCAAAUCAACAACACCCAUCAUCUACUAAAUUUUACAAAAAUUAACAAAAUCGGCCAGAAUCGGUUGAAGCCAAAUCGUGCAUAUCUCAAUUUCGAAUCAAAUAAAACCAAAUCAAACAAACAGCUAUGCAAUUACAUAAAACAUCUAUGCAAUUAUAAUACCUCAAUUUCGAAUCGGUUGAAGCUUCCGCCGCCUCCUCCUUGGAAUAAUCGGACGCCCCCCUCUUGGAAUAAUCGGACUGCCUCCGCCGCCGAGCGCCAACUCCUGUUACAGAUCGCUACUUUGCCUUCGAAACCGCCGGG
This 451-nucleotide long non-coding RNA is filed under the name Salvia miltiorrhiza (redroot sage). RNAcentral's name for it is "long non-coding RNA (SMIL_LNC013256)". Lineage: Eukaryota; Viridiplantae; Streptophyta; Magnoliopsida; Lamiales; Lamiaceae. The record is from RNAcentral.